AGGGAGCCUGAAAGGGGAUAGAGAGAAGAGAAAACAACUUUGUCCUUCUAGAACACUUUUCAAUAGCGAAUGAAAGUGCUUUAUAAACAGGUUAGCAAGAUUCAGAACCCUGCUGAAAUAGGAAUUAUAUUCCCCUUCUACAGAUGGAGAAACUAAGACAGAAGUUAAGUGACGACAGGGUAGUGAUAGAGCUAAGAAUAUAAUCCAACUGACUCCCAAUCCCUGGCUCUAACCACUAGACACCAUCACCUCCAAUACCUGAAAAGACUUUAAAAGGACGUGGCUUCAAAUUUUAUGUAAAUAUAGGAACUGACUUCGUACAAUUUGUGAAGUACCCUCAGAAGGGGCACAGAUACUCAACACAAUUAACGUUAAGAGCAAGGGGGAAGGAAUGCAAACCAAAACAGGGAAAGAGCAGGUUAAAGAAUAUUUAGAGAAGAUGGAUGUAUUCAAGUCAGCAGGACCUGAUGAAAUAGCUCGCAGGAUACUUCAGAAACUAGCUAAAGCAAUCACUGAACUGUUAGCAAUUAUCUACAAGAACUCCUGGAUGACAGGUGAGGUCCCAGAGGACUGGAGAAGGGCACACACAGAACCUGUCUUUAAAAUGGGGAACAAAGAGCACACAAGGAAUUACAGACCAGCCAGCCCUACUUCAAUACCUGGAAAGAUAUUGGUACAAUUAUUAAACAAUCAAGUGGUAAGCAUCAGAGGAUAAUAGUGUUAUAAGGAAUAGCCAGCAUGGAUUUGUCAAGAACAAAUCAUGACAAACCAACCUCACCUCCUACUUUGACAGUGUUACUGGCCAAGUGGAAGGGUGGGGGAGCUAUCAACAUGAUGUAUCUUAUUUUAGUAAGGCUUUCAACGCAGUCCCACGUGACAUUCUCAUAAGCAAACUAGGGAAACAUAAUCUAGCUGAUAUUACUGUAAGGUGGGUGCACAACUGGGUGAAAGACCACAUGCAAAGAGUAGUUAUCAAUGGUUUACUGUCAAACUGGGGAGAGCAUAUCUAGUGGGGUACUGCAGGGGUUUGCCUUGGAUCUAGUACUACACAAUGUUUUCAUUAAUAACUUGGGUAAUAGAGUGUAGAGUAUGCUUAUAAAAUCUAUGGAUGACACCAAGCUAGGACAAGUGCAAAGUACUACACUUGGGAAGGAAAAAUCAAAUGUACAACUACAAAAUGGGGAAUAAAUAGCUAAGUGGUAGUACUACUGGAGAGGAUCUGGGAUUAUAGUGGAUCACAAACUGAAUAUGAAUCAAAAUGAUGCAGCUGCAAAAAGGGCUAAUGUUCUGGGGUGAAUCGUUUAGAAUGCUCCAAGGGGCUUUCGGUAGGGAUGAUGGGAUGAAGUUGAACAAAGGUAAAUUUAGGCUGGAUAUCAGGAAAUAUUUCAUAGCACUGAGGUCGCUCAGCCUGUGGAAUAGUCUCCCGUGGAUGAAACUCUCCCAUCUAUGCCAUUUAAAACUGGACUGCACAAAGCACACAAGAAUAUACUGUAAAGAACAAUUCUGCAGAGGCAGGUGGAGUGGAAGCAAAUGGUUAUGACCUCAAGGGUCCAAUUUCUAGGAUUUUAUUGCAUUUGUUGUAAACCAAGAGUAGAAUUCUCACAAGGAUGUAAGGGCCAGAUUUUCAAGGUAUUUAAGGUGCUAAAGAUGCAAACGGGCACCUACUGGGAUUUUCAGACAUUCCUAAGCCCUAUAGACAUCUAAUUCCCACUGAUUUCGAUAGGGCUCAGGUAUUUUUGUAAAUCACACUAUUGACCUAUUUGCAUCUUUAGGUGCCCAAAUAUCUUUGCAAAUCUGGCCCUAAGUGACUUAGGAACCUAAGUCCCAUUUUCAACAGUGACUUAAAGAGGGUUUUUUUCUAAAGCCAGGUCUACAGUAAAAAGUUAGGUCGACCCAGCAAUGUUGCUCAGGGGUGUGAAAACUCCACAUACCUGAGCAAUAUAGUUAAACCAACCUAACACCUGGUGUAGACAGCGUUAGGCCAAUACAGUAAUUCUCCCCUUGACCUAGCUAUUGCCUAUCAGGGAAGUGGAUUAACUACUGCAAUGAGAAUCCCCCUCCUAUCACUGUAGUGAGCAUCUACACUGAAGCACCACCACGGCACAGCUGUACCAUUUCUACUGAAUAUGUAGCCAAAGGUACAAAGGUCAGUUAGGCAUCUAACCCCCAUUGAAAAUCAAUGGGAAUGAGAUGCCUAACUCCCAUUCGGGUCUUUGAAACUCUUCCCCUUUAGCGCCUAAGUACCAUUGACUUUCAAUGAGACAAAGGCUUCUAUAUGCUUAAGUCAAUUUUGAAAGUGGGAUUUAAGCCCUUUUGAAAACUUCACCCCAAAUCAAGAUAAGCAGGAUAACAAAACCAGAUGACCAAGGGUGUAAGCUAUGUAAGUGAACGCUGACUACAAGAUUCAGUCAAGAUGGCAAAUACAGUUUAAUUCAUUACCUGAACUAAGGUCUCAAAUUGUUUGCACACUCUCUCUCUCACUUCACUAAGGUGUAAACAUGGUAAUUCUCACCAGAAGUUUAACAGCAGAGUUGCUGUAGUGAAGUCUCUUAUUGCUGAGCAACAUACUGCAGCACAUUUGGAAAAUACAGCAAAAGUCAAGAAAUAGACUUGUCCAAUCAAUGCACAAAAUACAUACUGUGAUGCAGCUUCUCCCCCACAAUAUUCACUAACCCACACCAUGUCACUAGCACACAUGUAUGUGCAAAUUCAAGGAGGAGCACGUAAAGAAAGCCUCUUACUUCUCAUGUUUCUGCGUACCAAUCCCCUUCCCGAAAUUCUCCUUGUAGAAACGCAUUGCAGAAACCAUGCAGCCUGGCACCCAAUAGAGCAUGACGUUAGUGAGAAGGUCAUCCAGAGAGUACUUCCUGAAAAGGUCAGCACAGAAAUGGCCUCAGGAGAGUUGAAUGUAGUUUAGUUUAUGGUAGAAUAAUCAUUUCAAAUCUUUAUGGCUGUUUACUUUGGUUAAAUUAUAAAAAUUAAAGCAAAAAUGGCUAACAAAAAAUAGUACUAGCGCACUAAUUCAGAAAGGACUUGACACAAUUUCUCACCCCAACCCUCCAUUCCUACAGCUCAGGUAUUUCAGAGCUACCCCAACUAUUUUAGCAUUGCCCAUUCCUGCAAGCCCAAACAUUUUAGGCUAGCAGGAAGGGGGAGUGCUGAGUAUUUAGCACUCAUAUAGACAUGUAAAGCCUAACACUUCAACAUCCUUACAAGGGAGACAGACUCCAAAAAAUAUCCCAGCUCCAAUAAUACUGUCAAAAGAGGCCACGAACUAGCACCACCUAUAUCGUCCCUUCAGUGAAGGGGGAGACCAGAAGAGCAUGUUGGGCAGCUUGUGUAAUUUAUUUUCAUAAACCUAAACACUAACAUACGUUUUCAAUAAAAGACUAAAUUAAAAAAACUACAGAAACUUGGCCAGUCUUUGCUAUGAAUAUAGGUUUCAUACCCCACAGUAAACCUGUCAGGGGAGACAUUAUAUUCAAAUAAUUUUCACUGGCCUUUUUCUAAUGUGCAGUCUGGCUCAGCUUCAGCCAGGUAGCUCAGCAAGUUUUAGGGCUUCUUUAGAGUCUCACACACAGAUUUCUACCCCAAGCCAAGACUGACCCAUUAGUAGCAAACUGUAAGUAUACAUUUUUAUGACAAUGGUUAUCUUAAAGUAAAUAAAUCUGUGAAGAGAUAAAGAUUUGCAUUAGAUUGAAUCAGAAAUGGUAUUUUGUGAGCAAAAAAUCUUUGGUGUUUGGUAUAAACCAGAUUCCUCCUCCCUCCACCUUCCCUGACAUUUUCUCUGCUGUUUUUUAAAUAUGAUAUUAGUUCUAGUGAGAGGUGCCAGAAUGACAACCGUAGAAACGAAAAGUCCUCUGCUUAUCCAUAAAACAGACACCACAUGGGCAGUGGCAGGGCAAGUUUCUUCCAUACACUGCCAGUGUACCUCUACCAUGGCCUGGAGGGAUCACAGAUAGGUGUGAGGGUGUAGAUGAGUCUUCAAGGCCCAUUCACUUUUGGCCUCUUUUCUAUGAUUGCCAACACAAGUGUAAUUUUGUUCUAUUGUGGCCACACAGUUUCCUUGCAGGAUGGCAGGUAAACCAAAUUACCGCAACAGAGCUUUGAGAGACUAAUGUGAUCUAAACAUAAGUCUGGGCUGAGUGACCUCCUCUAGAAUAGGGCAAGAGGCCGAUGGUGAGUCAGAGGAAGAGGUUGUUCCCACCUUUCUAGACCGCCAUCCUCUAGUUUCCGGAAUUCAAGAUCAGUCCACGUAGAAAACUUCUCCAAGAUGUAUGCAGCCAGCCCCACUGGAGAGUCAUUCAGGCCACAGCCUGAAAAGGAG
Chelonia mydas (Green sea turtle) is the source of this 4327-nucleotide long non-coding RNA. RefSeq lists it as uncharacterized. The transcript has 2 exons. The record is from RefSeq and is a predicted model, not a curated record. NCBI's taxonomy places the organism in Eukaryota, Metazoa, Chordata, Testudines, Cheloniidae.